GAUGAACGCUGGCGGCGUGCCUAAUACAUGCAAGUCGAGCGAACAGAUGAGGAGCUUGCUCCUCUGACGUUAGCGGCGGACGGGUGAGUAACACGUGGAUAACCUACCUAUAAGACUGGGAUAACUUCGGGAAACCGGAGCUAAUACCGGAUAAUAUAUUGAACCGCAUGGUUCAAUAGUGAAAGACGGUUUUGCUGUCACUUAUAGAUGGAUCCGCGCCGCAUUAGCUAGUUGGUAAGGUAACGGCUUACCAAGGCGACGAUGCGUAGACGACCUGAGAGGGUGAUCGGCCACACUGGAACGGAGACACGGUCCAGACUCCUACGGGAGGCAGCAGUAGGGAAUCUUCCGCAAUGGGCGAAAGCUUGACGGAGCAACGCCGCGUGAGUGAUGAAGGUCUUCGGAUCGUAAAACUCUGUUAUUAGGGAAGAACAGAUGUGUAAGUAACUAUGCCCGUCUUGACGGUACCUGAUCAGAAAGCAACGGCUAACUACGUG
Molecule: ribosomal RNA, 497 nt
Filed under: uncultured bacterium
Lineage: Bacteria
Description: partial 16S ribosomal RNA
Rfam family: Bacterial small subunit ribosomal RNA
Source: RNAcentral